GACGAACGCUGGCGGCGUGCUUAACACAUGCAAGUCGAACGAUGAAGAAAAGAAUUGAAGCUUCGGCAGAAAUUCAUUUCGGAUUAGUGGCAGACGGGUGAGUAACGCGUGAGCAACCUACCUCUUACAAAGGGAUAGCCUCGGGAAACCGGGAUUAAUAGCAUAUAACAUUGCGACGAAGCAUUUCGAUGCAAUCAAAGCUACGGCGGUAAGAGAUGGGCUCGCGUCCCAUUCACCAGAUGGUGAGGUAACGGCUCACCAUAGUAACGAUGGGUAACCGGCCUGAGAGGGUGAACGGUCACACUGGAACUGAGACACGGUCCAGACUCCUACGGGAGGCAGCAGUGGGGAAUAUUGCACAAUGGAGGGAACUCUGAUGCAGCGACGCCGCGUGAGUGAUGAAGGAAUUCGUUUCGUAAAACUCUGUUCUAUGGGAAGAAAAGGACUGUACCAUAGGAGAAAGCUCCGGCUAAAUACGUG
Molecule: ribosomal RNA, 480 nt
Filed under: uncultured bacterium
Lineage: Bacteria
Description: partial 16S ribosomal RNA
Rfam family: Bacterial small subunit ribosomal RNA
Source: RNAcentral